RNAcentral lists this ribosomal RNA (395 nucleotides) under uncultured bacterium. RNAcentral's name for it is "bacterial SSU rRNA". It matches the Rfam family "Bacterial small subunit ribosomal RNA", at positions 358 to 770 of the family's 1533-position model. The record is from RNAcentral.
GGAAUAUUGCACAAUGGGCGCAAGCCUGAUGCAGCAACGCCGCGUGGGCGAUGAAGGCCUUCGGGUCGUAAAGCCCUUUUGUGGGGGAAGAUGAUGACGGUACCCCACGAAGAAGCCACGGCUCACUACGUGCCAGCAGCCGCGGUAAUACGUAGGGGGCGAGCGUUGUCCGGAUUUACUGGGCGUAAAGGGCGUGCAGGCGGUUCGUUAAGUUCGAGGUGAAAGCUCCCGGCUCAACUGGGAGAGGUCCCCGGAUACUGGCGGACUUGAGGGAGGCAGAGGAAAGUGGAAUUCCCGGUGUAGUGGUGAUAUGCGUAGAUAUCGGGAGGAACACCAGUGGCGAAGGCGGCUUUCUGGGCCUUACCUGACGCUGAGACGCGAAAGCGUGGGGAGCG